AGUUUGAUCCUGGCUCAGAUUGAACGCUGGCGGCAGGCUUAACACAUGCAAGUCGAACGAGGUGUUGGGGCUUGCUCUAACACCUAGUGGCGAACGGGUGAGUAAUACUUGGGAAUCUGCCUCGUAGCGGGGGAUAACGUUUCGAAAGGAACGCUAAUACCGCAUACGUCCUACGGGAGAAAGCAGGGGAUCUUCGGACCUUGCACUAUGAGAUGAGCCCAAGCGAGAUUAGCUAGUUGGUAAGGUAAAGGCUUACCAAGGCGACGAUCUCUAGCUGGUCUGAGAGGAUGAUCAGCCACACUGGAACUGAGACACGGUCCAGACUCCUACGGGAGGCAGCAGUGGGGAAUAUUGGACAAUGGGCGAAAGCCUGAUCCAGCCAUGCCGCGUGUGUGAAGAAGGCCUUAGGGUUGUAAAGCACUUUAAGCGAGGAGGAAUGGCUGAGGGUUAAUAACCUUCAGCAGUGACGUUACUCGCAGAAUAAGCACCGGCUAACUCUGUGCCAGCAGCCGCGGUAAUACAGAGGGUGCAAGCGUUAAUCGGAAUUACUGGGCGUAAAGCGCGCGUAGGCGGUUACGUAAGUUGGAGGUGAAAUCCCCGAGCUCAACUUGGGAAUUGCCUUCAAAACUGCGUGGCUAGAGUGUGGGAGAGGAAGGUAGAAUUCCAGGUGUAGCGGUGAAAUGCGUAGAUAUCUGGAGGAAUACCGAUGGCGAAGGCAGCCUUCUGGCCUAACACUGACGCUGAGGUGCGAAAGCAUGGGGAGCAAACAGGAUUAGAUACCCUGGUAGUCCAUGCCGUAAACGAUGUCUACUAGCCGUUGGGGGACUUGAUCCUUUAGUGGCGCAGCUAACGCAUUAAGUAGACCGCCUGGGGAGUACGGUCGCAAGACUAAAACUCAAAUGAAUUGACGGGGGCCCGCACAAGCGGUGGAGCAUGUGGUUUAAUUCGAUGCAACGCGAAGAACCUUACCUGGCCUUGACAUGUCUGGAAUCCUGUAGAGAUACGGGAGUGCCUUCGGGAAUCAGAACACAGGUGCUGCAUGGCUGUCGUCAGCUCGUG
Molecule: ribosomal RNA, 1059 nt
Filed under: uncultured Perlucidibaca sp.
Lineage: Bacteria; Pseudomonadati; Pseudomonadota; Gammaproteobacteria; Pseudomonadales; Perlucidibacaceae
Description: bacterial SSU rRNA
Rfam family: Bacterial small subunit ribosomal RNA
Source: RNAcentral